AGACUAGUCAAUCGGCUACCGGCGCGGCCGCGCUCCAAAACAAACACUCGACAGUGGGAAGGGAAGGAGAGUCUAGCAGCCGGAAAAAAAUGGUGUCCCGCGCUGGGUUCGCCUCCCUCCUCGGCGCCUCCUUCCUCCUGCUCCUCCUGCGCGGCGCCGAGCCGCUCGGGUUCAGCCACCGCCCGAUGACCGCCGGCGACGAGCUCUCGGCCGCCCCGAGCAGAUACCUGACGCGGGAGGAGCGCUGGAUGAGCCAGCGCCUCGACCACUUCUCCCCCACCGACCACCGCCAAUUCAAUCAGCGCUACUUCGAGUUCCUGGACUACCACGACGACCCCACCGGCCCGGUGUUCCUGCGCAUCUGCGGCGAGUCCUCCUGCGACGGCCUCCCCAACGACUACCUCGCCGUCAUCGCCAAGAAGUUCGGCGCCGCGGUGGUGACGCCGGAGCACCGGUACUACGGCAAGAGCUCCCCGUUCGACAGCCUCACCACCGACAACCUCAGGUUCCUGUCGUCCAAGCAGGCGCUCUUCGACCUCGCCGUCUUCCGCCAGUAUUACCAGGAAAAACUGAAUUCUCAGUACAACCGGAGCGCGGGGUUCGACAAUCCGUGGUUUGUCUUCGGGGUCUCCUACUCCGGGGCUCUCAGCGCCUGGUUCAGGCUCAAGUUCCCUCACCUGACAUGCGGAAGCCUCGCGAGCUCCGGGGUGGUUCUUGCUGUGUACAACUUCACUGAUUUCGACAAGCAGGUUGGAGAGUCGGCUGGCCCUCAGUGCAAAGCCGCCCUUCAGGAAAUAACUAGACUUGUCGACGAACAGCUUCGGUUGGAUAGCCACUCUGUGAAGGCCUUGUUCGGAGCAGAUUCGUUGAAAAAUGACGGCGACUUCCUCUUUCUUCUGGCAGAUGCAGCAGCCACAACAUUCCAGUAUGGGAAUCCUGAUGCCUUGUGCUCUCCUCUAGCUAAUGCGAAGAAAAAGGGGGAAAGUUUGGUGGAAACAUAUGCUCACUUUGUGAAAGAUUACUUCAUUAAAAAAUUGGGGACUACAGUGUCUUCUUAUGAUCAAGAGUAUUUGAAGGAAACAACUCCCGAUGAUUCUAGUUCUAGACUUUGGUGGUUCCAAGUUUGCAGUGAAGUUGCCUAUUUUCAAGUCGCACCCAAAAAUGAUAGUGUUCGUUCUGCGCAGCUUAAUACAAGGUACAAUUUGGACCUGUGUAAAAAUGUUUAUGGAGAAGGAGUUUAUCCUGAUGUGUUCAUGACAAACUUAUAUUAUGGAGGCACAAGUAUUGCUGCUUCUAAAAUUGUGUUUACAAAUGGCUCUCAAGAUCCAUGGCGUCAUGCCUCCAAACAGAAUUCAUCGGAAGACAGUGAGCCUUUAAAUUUCUAAUGCCAUCAUACAUAAUCAAAUGUAGCAACUGCGGACAUGGCACUGAUUUGAGAGGAUGUCCCCAGCUUCCUUUCAGGAUUGAAGGUGACUCUUCAAACUGCACGUCCCCAGAAGCUGUGAACACAGUAAGGAAGCAGAUCGUCAAGCACAUCGACCUGUGGCUAUCACAAUGCCAUGAACCAACAAGGGCGUGGUGAGGUGACGAUGACUCGCACCUGUUUAGGAGUAAAAGAAGCAGUGUGUAGAGGAAGGACCGAUUGCAAGUUUGCGACAUCGUUAUGCUGCAGACCGAGUGAACCAUAUGCGGAUUGAGCAGCCAGUCCCCGGCCUGGAUGCGAUUGCGCGCAGGUUUGUUUGGAUUAUCACAAACGGUAGAAAGUUAUGUUUGUACUGCUGCCGACUAGAGCCAUCAUGGCAACUUUGUCGAGUUCAAAUAAUCAUAUACAUCGUUCAUGAGGCUUUUAAGAAUAAAGGUAGGGGGUUCUUCAAACCAAGGCUAUUUCCUUUGUUGUUAGUACAUGUUACUCCUAUUUCUUAACGGCUAUUAGUAAAAAGAAAAAUAGAUUUCUGCAGAAA
Molecule: RNA transcript, 1961 nt
Organism: Triticum aestivum (bread wheat)
Lineage: Eukaryota; Viridiplantae; Streptophyta; Magnoliopsida; Poales; Poaceae
Gene name: probable serine protease EDA2
Exons: 13
Source: RefSeq, a predicted model, not a curated record